Equus asinus (donkey) is the source of this 1757-nucleotide long non-coding RNA. NCBI's taxonomy places the organism in Eukaryota, Metazoa, Chordata, Mammalia, Perissodactyla, Equidae. The record is from Ensembl.
CGGGUCCGCGCCCCCCGCUGCUGCAGGAGGGCCGGCUCCCUGGCUCCCGCCCGCGCGCCGCCCUGGGAGGUGCACCUGCGGGGUCCGUCGGCGUCCCCCGCGCGGUGUCGGACGCCUGAUGCUCCAUGGGCGUCUGUUUACUUGUCUCUUUGAGGGGAGGGACGGGCGACAGCUGCCUCCACCUUGACGCUCUCCUCACUCCUAAACUGGGGCUCUGGGGAGCAGUAUACCGUUGAAUCACUUUCCCCAUUCUGCCAACGUCUGUCUUCUGAUUGGAGCGUUUAAAUCGUUAUUGUUGGAGGCCUCGCGCUCACGGGGUUACCUGUCCUUACAGGCUUCGUUCCGAAGACUUAACCCCUGAAAGCACUAACGUGUCUCCGACCGAUGCCGGAGCCUGUCACUUACAGUCCUUGCCGCUUUCCCCGCAGCUGUCUACAGUAUUUGAAUUACUGUCUUCUUCGCAUUUCUGGUUACUAGUCAACAACUGUUUAAUUUCUAUCCAAGGAUGAUUAAAUCGACGUACACUGAAACAAGAAAUGUGCACUCACAAUACUAAAGGAUGACCUGGUCCGUGAUACUUUGGUCGCUUCCUCUGCUUAUUGGUUCGACAAGCCUCCUAGGUCUGGUACGCUGCUCGCUCACACCUACUACUCAACCCUCGACGAUUUAGGUGUGGUUGUUCCUCUCUGGGCAGGAGCAGUAAUUGCCCGUUUUUGCCAUAAAUCUAAAGCGUGUGGAUGGUGGGAGAGAGAAACUGCCUUUUCCUCUGUGGGGCCAACCAUCUGGAGACAUUGGGACGAGACUUGUCUGCACAAAGAGAGAAUGACAUCAAACUACACCAAACAUUUGGAAAUUUCGGGGCGAGAGACUUGAGGACGUGAUUCGAAUCCUGAGGUCGCCUCCCCCUGAUGCGGGGCAGGUGCUGGGAACACAGCAUGCAACCGGCAAGAGGCCAUCUCUGCCCUCAGGAGGUCUUGGAGGAGCCUGGUGGGAGACACAGCUACAUAACCAGGAGACGGCAACUCCGGGUGAUGAGGACUUCAGGGGAAGCUGGAAGUUGGAGAGGCAGCUACCUCAUCAGGGGUGUGGGAGGCAGGAACCCGCUGUGAGCCCUACCCAAGGACCUGGGCGGCAUUUCAGGGCUCCUCCUGCAACUUGUCCACGACGAAUUCACCUGCUUCAAAGGCGAGGAUCACCGUGUGAGGAGGGUGCUCAUCUGGUCAUCAUCACUGCCAAGCAGAGCAGAAAUUCCCGAGUUCAGCGGAAGAUGUUGUGUCCUGGACCAGCCUUUGGAAACAGUACCCAAAGGGCAUCUAUCAGUGGAGAGGUGGCUCAGCCCCACCUUCAUGUGAGUGUUUCUGUUGGAAUACCUGAGCCCUAGCUAGUCUGUCCCAUUGGAUCUUGGAGACAUCUUCCCAUAGAUUCUUGACUGCCUCAAGGUUCUAAUUUUGGCCUGAACAAACAGCCUGUCAUGUUUCCUGUUGUCAUGCUUAGUUGCAGGUGUGUGUGUGUGUGUAAACCACAAUUCAACAACAUCAAACAACAAGUUCUUUAUUGUAGGAACUCACGUUCCUUUAAUACACUAAAGAGAACCUUGCCCUUUAAGGAGGGGAAGAGGAUGUGUGAUGUGCAAACGUAUUAAGAUGCAGAGCUCAUCUGGGCGUAUCUGGAGUCUCUCGUGUCCUACAGAACAUGCUUGCAGGAUCACUGCCUGGAGGAUGCAGUCCUAACCCCUCAGCAUAUAAGUCAACGACCAC